UUCUCAAAAGAACUUAAUUGGAGUUAGUUCUAAAUUUUCGUAAAAAAAUAUGAAAGAACUACAUUAAAAUAGAGCAUUGCAAACACUAAGAAUACAAUUAAGCUCAGGAUGUACUAGGUGGAAUGUUUCAUUGAAAGUGAAGAAUCUAAUCAUAUUUUUUCACUCCUCCUUAUGCUGAAAGUUUCAUCACUUUUCUCCAUGAUUUGGAUCUGGCAGAGAGAGCUUUGGGAAGAGGAUUAAGAAGUGUUUUUCAACAGUGGAAUGUUGGAGAAACACUGAAAAGAGUUAGAUGAUCAGAGUUCCAAAGAAAGACAUGGCAAGAGAGGGAGUCAAGUGAGGACCACGACUACCAGAAACCCCAACUUAAUGGAGUUGGUUAGGAAGAAGUAAAGUCAAACCCAACUGGGCUGAUGUGGAACCAAGGAGUGAGGAUCAGCUAAGAUCUUAGAAAUAAAGAAUUUAGUUUUGGAUACUUGACAGAAGAUAUCCUCCCAACAAUUCUUACCAGGUUAAACUUGGGACAAUUUAUGACUGAGUACUGUCUGAGCAGGUUGUUCAUGGACCAACCUGGGUUGUAAGUUGAUUCCUCAGCUAUAGAGGUCCUGCCCCAUUAUUUGACAUUCUUGAUUCAAGGAGUGUGUAAUUAUAGGCCUAAUCAAGUUUCAAUAGUCAGCCUUAAUAAGAAUCAGAAGCUUGAAUUUCAUUGUCAACCAUCAUUUAGUUUCAUAAGGAAUGGAGUGCUGAGAAUGAUGUGGCCUUUUUGUCUACCUCCCAU
Mirounga angustirostris (Northern elephant seal) is the source of this 775-nucleotide long non-coding RNA. RefSeq lists it as uncharacterized. The record is from RefSeq and is a predicted model, not a curated record. NCBI's taxonomy places the organism in Eukaryota, Metazoa, Chordata, Mammalia, Carnivora, Phocidae. The transcript is spliced from 3 exons.